This 49-nucleotide ribosomal RNA is filed under the name Chenopodium suecicum. The record is from RNAcentral. Lineage: Eukaryota; Viridiplantae; Streptophyta; Magnoliopsida; Caryophyllales; Amaranthaceae.
GUAGUACUAGGAUGGGUGACCUCCUAGGAAGUCCUCGUGUUGCACCCCU